GCCGGGCGUGGUGGCUCAUGCCUGUAAUCCCAACACUUUGGGAGGCCGAGGCAGGUGGAUCACCUGAGGUCAGGAGUUUGAGACCAGCCUGGCCAACAUGGUGAAACCCUGUCUCUA
This 117-nucleotide non-coding RNA is filed under the name Chlorocebus sabaeus (green monkey). Lineage: Eukaryota; Metazoa; Chordata; Mammalia; Primates; Cercopithecidae. The record is from Rfam by way of RNAcentral.